Molecule: ribosomal RNA, 465 nt
Filed under: uncultured Klebsiella sp.
Lineage: Bacteria; Pseudomonadati; Pseudomonadota; Gammaproteobacteria; Enterobacterales; Enterobacteriaceae
Description: bacterial SSU rRNA
Rfam family: Bacterial small subunit ribosomal RNA
Source: RNAcentral
CCUACGGGCGGCAGCAGUGGGGAAUAUUGCACAAUGGGCGCAAGCCUGAUGCAGCCAUGGCGCGUGUGUGAAGAAGGCCUUCGGGUUGUAAAGCACUUUCAGCGGGGAGGAAGGCGUUAAGGUUAAUAACCUUGGCGAUUGACGUUACCCGCAGAAGAAGCACCGGCUAACUCCGUGCCAGCAGCCGCGGUAAUACGGAGGGUGCAAGCGUUAAUCGGAAUUACUGGGCGUAAAGCGCACGCAGGCGGUCUGUCAAGUCGGAUGUGAAAUCCCCGGGCUCAACCUGGGAACUGCAUUCGAAACUGGCAGGCUAGAGUCUUGUAGAGGGGGGUAGAAUUCCAGGUGUAGCGGUGAAAUGCGUAGAGAUCUGGAGGAAUACCGGUGGCGAAGGCGGCCCCCUGGACAAAGACUGACGCUCAGGUGCGAAAGCGUGGGGAGCAAACAGGAUUAGAUACCCGGGUAGUC